GACGAACGCUGGCGGCGUGCUUAACACAUGCAAGUCGAACGGAAAGGCCCUGCUUUUGUGGGGUGCUCGAGUGGCGAACGGGUGAGUAACACGUGAGUAACCUGCCCUUGACUUUGGGAUAACUUCAGGAAACUGGGGCUAAUACCGGAUAGGAGCUCCUGCUGCAUGGUGGGGGUUGGAAAGUUUCGGCGGUUGGGGAUGGACUCGCGGCUUAUCAGCUUGUUGGUGGGGUAGUGGCUUACCAAGGCUUUGACGGGUAGCCGGCCUGAGAGGGUGACCGGCCACAUUGGGACUGAGAUACGGCCCAGACUCCUACGGGAGGCAGCAGUGGGGAAUAUUGCACAAUGGGCGGAAGCCUGAUGCAGCAACGCCGCGUGCGGGAUGACGGCCUUCGGGUUGUAAACCGCUUUCGCCUGUGACGAAGCGUGAGUGACGGUAAUGGGUAAAGAAGCACCGGCUAACUACGUGCCAGCAGCCGCGGUGAUACGUAGGGUGCGAGCGUUGUCCGGAUUUAUUGGGCGUAAAGGGCUCGUAGGUGGUUGAUCGCGUCGGAAGUGUAAUCUUGGGGCUUAACCCUGAGCGUGCUUUCGAUACGGGUUGACUUGAGGAAGGUAGGGGAGAAUGGAAUUCCUGGUGGAGCGGUGGAAUGCGCAGAUAUCAGGAGGAACACCAGUGGCGAAGGCGGUUCUCUGGGCCUUUCCUGACGCUGAGGAGCGAAGGCGUGGGGAGCGAACAGGCUUAGAUACCCUGGUAGUCCACGCUGUAAACGGUGGGUACUAGGUGUGGGGUCCAUUCCACGGGUUCCGUGCCGUAGCUAACGCUUUAAGUACCCCGCCUGGGGAGUACGGCCGCAAGGCUAAAACUCAAAGGAAUUGACGGGGCCCCGCACAAGCGGCGGAGCAUGCGGAUUAAUUCGAUGCAACGCGUAGAACCUUACCUGGGUUUGACAUGGAUCGGGAGUGCUCAGAGAUGGGUGUGCCUCUUUUGGGGUCGGUUCACAGGUGGUGCAUGGCUGUCGUCAGCUCGUGUCGUGAGAUGUUGGGUUAAGUCCCGCAACGAGCGCAACCCUUGUUCACUGUUGCCAGCACGUUAUGGUGGGGACUCAGUGGAGACCGCCGGGGUCAACUCGGAGGAAGGUGGGGAUGACGUCAAGUCAUCAUGCCCCUUAUGUCCAGGGCUUCACGCAUGCUACAAUGGCUGGUACAGAGAGUGGCGAGCCUGUGAGGGUGAGCGAAUCUCGGAAAGCCGGUCUCAGUUCGGAUUGGGGUCUGCAACUCGACCUCAUGAAGUCGGAGUCGCUAGUAAUCGCAGAUCGGCAACGCUGCGGUGAAUAAGUUCCCGGG
This 1343-nucleotide ribosomal RNA is filed under the name uncultured bacterium. Its description in RNAcentral is "16S ribosomal RNA". It matches the Rfam family "Bacterial small subunit ribosomal RNA", at positions 28 to 1378 of the family's 1533-position model. The record is from RNAcentral.